GAAGGCUAUGUUGGCCGGGCGACGGUUGUCCCGGUUUAAGCGUGUAGGCUGGUUUUCCAGGCAAAUCCGGAAAAUCAAGGCUGAGGCGUGAUGACGAGGCACUACGGUGCUGAAGCAACAAAUGCCCUGCUUCCAGGAAAAGCCUCUAAGCAUCAGGUAACAUCAAAUCGUACCCCAAACCGACACAGGUGGUCAGGUAGAGAAUACCAAGGCGCUUGAGAGAACUCGGGUGAAGGAACUAGGCAAAAUGGUGCCGUAACUUCGGGAGAA
Molecule: ribosomal RNA, 270 nt
Filed under: Escherichia coli
Lineage: Bacteria; Pseudomonadati; Pseudomonadota; Gammaproteobacteria; Enterobacterales; Enterobacteriaceae
Also listed under: 1 other name
Description: partial 23S ribosomal RNA
Rfam family: Bacterial large subunit ribosomal RNA
Source: RNAcentral